GGAAAAUGCGAGGCAAUGAAUUCUCCCCUGGAACCUCCAGAAGGAGCACAGUCCCGACAACACCUUGAUUUUGUCCCAAUGAGACCCAUGUUGGCCUUCUGACCUCCAGACGGAACUUCUGUCUGUCCUCUUCACUGCCUGGUCCCCAGAGCCUAGAACAAAGCUCAGCACGCGGGAGGCGCUCAACAAACACUCGUUCACUGAAGCGAAAGGAGGGAAAGGUGAAUUUGAGCUCCAUGCAGACAAGAGAUUCCAAGGGGCCCUGGAGGAGAGUCCCAGCCCAGCCACAGGCACGGGGAUGUGCACCAGGGAGGAGGGGCUCGGAUGGGCAGGACACCUCCACAGCGUGGCUUGAUGAGCGGCGCAUAGGUCUGUGCCGGGGAUCCGAACCAGCAAACCCCAGGAUGCCGAAGCAGAGUGUGUGAACUUAAUCACUACACCACUGGGCCGGCCCCGAACGUUUAUAUCUAUCUCCCGGCAGGAGCUGUGCUGGGGUUUCACAUGUCCUAGCGUCUCUCUUUCUUAGCCUGGUCGGAAGUUACAUGAAUGUGCGUUUCAUUGUUACUCCUGACACCUUAACAAAAGGUUUAAAGCAGACUUUUGUCCUUAUUCUGUAUUCAUUUAAAGCCAUUAUUAAAAGCAAUCCAUCAGGACAAUUGAUUCAGACAAGAAUCCUCAAAAGAAGCUGCAAUUAGUUGGUGAAAGUUUCAUGAAAAACAGGAUAUUUAUGUAGCUUCAAUGUAUCUGCCCAUAAGAUACAUGUUAAUUACAAAGAAGAGAAUUGUAACUAACUUUACAGAAGAGAAACAGAUAGGGACUUAACCAGUGAACAUAGAUUUUUUUUUCUUUUUGGGGGGUUUUUUGCUGAGGAAGACUGGCCCUGAGCUAACAUCCAUGCCCAUCUUCCUCUGCUUUAUACCUGGGACACCUGCCACAGCACGGCAUGCCAAGUGGUGCCAUGUCCGCACCCGGGAUCUGAACUGGCGAACCCCGGGCCACCAAAGCGGAAUGUGGGAACUUAUCCACUGUGCCACCGGGCCAGCCCCAGGUCUCUGGUUUAGAUAGCAAUAUUAUUUCAAUAUUAAAUUUUCUGAUUGUGACCAUUAUACUAUGGUUGUAUAAGCAACAGUUCUCCACUGGGGGCAGUUCUGUCAUCCAGGGGACACUGGGCAGUGUCUGAAGACAUUUUUGGGUGUCAUGCCCAGGAGUGUGCGCAUGUGUGUUAGUGACAUCUAGUGGGUGGAGGCCAGGGAUGCUGAAAUCCUGUCAUGCACAGGACAGCACCCUGCGGCAAAGAAUUAUCCAGCCCAAAUAUCAACAGUGACAUGGUAGAGAAGCCAUCUGCAGGAGAAUGUCCCUUUUCUCAGGAAAUAUAAACUGAGGAAUAAGAAGGAGUCAUGUCUGGGAUUGGUUCUCAAAAGACUCAAAAAAAAAUAACGUGUAUCUGUAUCUACCUCUCUCUAUAUAGAUGUGUGUAUAUGUAUAUACACAUAGACAGACGUAUUUGGUAUAUGUGUGUAAGUGUGUGUGUAUAUAUAUAUUCAUUACCCAAAUUCCCCAAAUGCUAACAUGUUGCCACACUUCCUUAUUAUUCUCUGUCUCUCCCUCCCUCUCCUUCCCUCCUUGGGCCUUCUUUUUUUUUUCCUUUGGUGAGGAAGAUUGUUGCUGAGCUAACAUCUGUGCCCAUCUUCCUCUAUUUUGUAUGUGGGGUGUCACCACAGCAUGGCUUGAUGAGUGGCGUGUAGGUCCGCGUCCAGGAUCUGAACCUGCAAACCCUGGGCUGCUGAAGUGGAGCAUGCGAAUUUAACCACUAUGCCACUGGGCUGGCCCCUCCAUGGGCCUUUCUUAAUAUUCCUUAAACACAUCAGGCAUGUUUCUGUCUCAGGGCCUUUGCACUGGCUAUUCCCUCUGCCUAGAAUGUUUUCCCCCUAGAUUUCUGCGUGGUUUACCCCUUCACCUCCUUCACUUCACUGCUCAUACACCCCCUUCUCCAUGAGACCAUUCCUGACCACUCUAUUGAAAAUUACAAGCAUCGCCCUUAUUCUUUAUCUCUCUCCUGGGACUUAUUUUUCCCCUUAGUGCUUAUCCCCAUGUAAAGUGCUAUAUAUUUUCUUUGCUUGUUUAUUGUGUCUCUCACACAGUCAUUGCGUCAGCUCCAUUAGAGCAAUGACUUUUGUCCCCAGCGCUUGGAACAGGGCCUGGCACACAGUAGAUGUUCCAUCAAUGUUUGAUGAAUGAAUUGCUGUUACAUAAAUAAACUGGCCUAAAAGGAGAAGGAAAUGGGAGGAGGAGAAGGAAGAAAGUUGCUACUCAUCAUCGUUGCAUCUCCCCUUUGCUCCUCGCCUGCUCCGCCCUCAGGCUCAGCAGCCACCUGCCCUGCCUCCCGGGGGGAACAGCGGGAACCGAAGGAGCGAGAGCCGCCGCCAGGGGGCGCUCCUCCUCUGCGCUUGUCCGCGGCACACCUGUGGAGGAAUUUUCCUCCUGGGGGAAUAAAAAAAAAAGAAAAGCCAUGUCUAGCUUUUUCUUAUUGCUGCACAAAUAAUCUCUAAAAACUAGCAUAUUCAUUAUAAACAAUUAAGAAACUAAAGUGAGAAAUAAAAAUGGCUGCACGUGCCCUCCUGGGAACUCACUGUUACAUCUGCCAACAUAUUGUGCUUUGAAGUCCAUUUGCUUAUUCAAAAUAUUUCUGUUCACCUUUUGUUUGGAAGGAUUUUAAACAAACAAACAAAAAAGGUAGAGAAGUGUAUUUAGUGCCACUAAACUGUCCACUUGAAAAGGGUUAAGAUGGUAAAUUUUAUAUUAUGUAUAUUUUCCCACAAUGAAAAAAAAGAUUGUACAAUGUGAACACCAAUUGUCAACUCAGUCUUGUCUCCGGUGUCCCCACUUCCUCCUUAACUGGGUUAUUUUGAAGCAAAUACCAGACGUCCCAUCGCCUAUACAUCCCUGGUUUUACCUUCUAGGAGAGAAGGACAACGUCUUUCAAAAGUACCCAUAAUAGCAUUAUUAUGCUUUAAAAACUUCGUAUCAUCAAACGUCCAGUGAGAGUUGAAGUUUUUAAUUGUUUCAUAAACGUUAUAAUCUGUUCUGCUGCAUUUUAGUUUAUGUUUUCAGGGAUGAUUUGAAUCAUGAUUUCGAAAUAUCCAUCCAUUGCAUUUGGUUGAAAUGUUUUUCAAGUCUCUUUUGAUUUAAAAAUUCUCACUUUUUUUUUUCCCAAUUUAUUUGUUAAAGAACACACAUUUGUCCUGGAGCGUCUCCCAUGGUUUGGAUCCAGCGGACUGCGCCCCGAGGUGUCAUUUGUGGUGUCCCGAUGUUCUCUGUGUUUUGUAAAACUUGGCAGAUAGAUCCAGACCAGAGCUGUUGAAAUAAAAACAUAACGUGAGCCACAGACCCAAGUCACGUGCCUCACUUUAAAUUUUCUAGUAG
Molecule: long non-coding RNA, 3423 nt
Filed under: Equus caballus (horse)
Lineage: Eukaryota; Metazoa; Chordata; Mammalia; Perissodactyla; Equidae
Description: lncRNA (ENSECAG00000058791.1)
Source: RNAcentral